This is a long non-coding RNA of Fundulus heteroclitus (mummichog), 168 nucleotides long. RefSeq lists it as uncharacterized. The transcript has 3 exons. Lineage: Eukaryota; Metazoa; Chordata; Actinopteri; Cyprinodontiformes; Fundulidae. The record is from RefSeq and is a predicted model, not a curated record.
CUCAGAGGAAAGUAACAGAAAGAUCUUUCUCAAGAGGUGAUUAAGACUUUAGUGAUAGGAAAAUGGCUUUGUCCUUCUCAUUUCUUUUCUGGAUUUUUCUAAGAACCAUCUGCUGUCAGCCUCAGUGCAUCCAAGAACCCCUUGAUGAUGCAGAGUUUUACAUUAAUG